Molecule: ribosomal RNA, 493 nt
Filed under: uncultured bacterium
Lineage: Bacteria
Description: partial 16S ribosomal RNA
Rfam family: Bacterial small subunit ribosomal RNA
Source: RNAcentral
GACGAACGCUGGCGGCGUGCUUAACACAUGCAAGUCGAACGGUGAAGCGCCUUCCUUUUUGGUGGGUGUGGAUGAGUGGCGAACGGGUGAGUAACACGUGAGUAACCUGCCCCCUUCUUCUGGAUAACCGCAUGAAAGUGUGGCUAAUACGGGAUAUUCUGGGUCUGUCGCAUGAUGGGUCUGGGAAAGAUAUUGUUUCGGUGGGGGAUGGGCUCGCGGCCUAUCAGCUUGUUGGUGGGGUGAUGGCCUACCAAGGCGGUGACGGGUAGCCGGCCUGAGAGGGUGGACGGACCCGAUGGGACUGAGGCCCGGCCCACCCCCCGGGGGGAGGCGGAGGGGGGGUUUAUUGACCAGGGGGCGCAGGCCGGAGCCAGGCCGGCCGGGGGAGGGAGGGGGGCCUUCGGGUUUGGACCCUUUUUCGGGAAGAAAGAAGGCCUGCCUCGUUUGGGGGGGGGUUGCGGGAAGUUGGAAAAAAGGCCCCGGCUACCUAGUG